This 372-nucleotide ribosomal RNA is filed under the name uncultured organism. Its description in RNAcentral is "partial 16S ribosomal RNA". It matches the Rfam family "Bacterial small subunit ribosomal RNA", at positions 527 to 896 of the family's 1533-position model. The record is from RNAcentral.
GUAGGUGGCAAGCGUUGUCCGGAAUUAUUGGGCGUAAAGCGCGCGCAGGCGGUUCUUUAAGUCUGAUGUGAAAGCCCACGGCUCAACCGUGGAGGGUCAUUGGAAACUGGAGAACUUGAGUACAGAAGAGGAAAGCGGAAUUCCACGUGUAGCGGUGAAAUGCGUAGAGAUGUGGAGGAACACCAGUGGCGAAGGCGGCUUUCUGGUCUGUAACUGACGCUGAGGCGCGAAAGCGUGGGGAGCAAACAGGAUUAGAUACCCUGGUAGUCCACGCCGUAAACGAUGAGUGCUAAGUGUUAGGGGGUUUCCGCCCCCCUUAGUGCUGCAGCUAACGCAUUUAGCACUCCGCCUGGGAGUACGGCCGCAAGGCUG